RNA transcript from Amphibalanus amphitrite, 2211 nucleotides. It is a transcript of the gene named 2-oxoisovalerate dehydrogenase subunit beta, mitochondrial-like, with no coding region annotated. The record is from RefSeq and is a predicted model, not a curated record. Lineage: Eukaryota; Metazoa; Arthropoda; Thecostraca; Balanomorpha; Balanidae. The transcript is spliced from 9 exons.
AAACUAGUUUUCAAUAGUCGGAAACUUCAGAAAUGUUGUUGUAUUGGUGGAUGAUAUAAGAUUUCAUUAUUUCCUGAUUAUUUUGGAGCUAUUUCCCUAUUGGAACAACCAGUCUUCAACAUGUCGUCCAUAAGAUCAAUUGCAAGACAUUUGAAGCCCGGUCUGAGGGUUCUAGGCUUCAAUAAAGGAGUGCUGGGUUCGGUUAGAAAUGCGGCACAUUUCACAUAUUUUCCAGAUACCGUUUCAGAAGCUCAAGGGGAGACCACUCGGAUGAACCUGUUCCAGUCAGUGAACAGUGCCCUGGACACGGCUCUAGCCACAGACAGCACCGCGGUCAUCUUCGGAGAGGACGUCGGCUUCGGCGGCGUGUUCCGCUGCACCAUCGGCCUGCAGGACAAACACGGCAAGGACCGGGUGUUCAACACGCCGCUCUGUGAGCAAGGUAUCGCCGCGUUCGGCAUCGGUCUGGCGGCCGCCGGCGCCACGGCCAUCGCCGAGAUUCAGUUUGCCGACUACAUCUUCCCCGCCUUCGAUCAGAUAGUGAACGAGGCCGCCAAAUUCCGGUACCGCUCGGGUGGUCUGUUCAACUGCGGCAAGCUGACGAUCCGCGCCCCGUGCUCCGCCGUCGGUCACGGCGCGCUCUAUCACUCUCAGUCGCCCGAGGCGUUUUUCGCUCACGUGCCCGGCAUCAAGGUCGUUAUCCCCCGAGGGCCGAUAAAGGCCAAGGGCUUGCUGCUGGCCUGCAUCAGAGACCCGAACCCGUGCAUCUUCUUCGAGCCGAAGGUGCUCUAUCGUUCGGCAGUCGAGGAGGUGCCAGUGGCCGACUACACUGAGACCAUCGGAAGGGCAGACGUGCUCGUCGAAGGUGAUGACGUCACGCUGAUCGGCUGGGGUACCCAGGUGCACGUUCUGCGCGAGGUGGCCGAUUUGGCUGCCGAGAGACUCAAUGUGUCGUGCGAGGUCAUUGACCUUGUCUCAAUCCUGCCUUGGGACCGAGACACCGUCUUCAAGUCGGUGUGUAAAACGGGCCGAUGUCUGAUCUCGCACGAGGCCCCUUUGACCGGCGGCUUUGGAGCCGAGCUGGCAGCCUCCAUUCAGACGGACUGUUUCCUGAACCUGGAGGCGCCCGUGCAGCGGGUGACCGGUCACGACACGCCGUUCCCGCACGUGCAUGAGCCGUUCUACAUGCCGACCAAGUGGCGCUGUCUGGAGGCCGUUAAAAAGCUGGUCAAUUAUUAACGGGUCAUGGCAGGGGCGCACCCAGGGGCGCGGCUAGAAACGCCGACAGAGGCGCUGGCAGGGAGGGACAGGAACCGACUGAAGGGUUGAGAAGGAUGCGGUAGAUACGCAUUCGUUAAAUGCUGCCAGAAGAACUUAUGGACGUCGAGGACAUUCAAUCGUUGGGUUGUGAUGGAUGGUUUGACCUUGUGCAAUCAUGAAGGGGAGAAGUGGACUUGCGAUUCAGGAAUGCGGGAAAAAUUCGCCUUGAGGUGUUCGUGAAUCAGAUUUGAUGAGUUUCUUGCUGAUUGGUUGUGGACUCAAUCCAUUUUCUUUCCGCGACUGUGACACACUGAAGGUAAACCAUCUGAGGCGGCGCGUCCACCAACUGUACGUCCAAUCGCGAAUCCUUCAUUGAUUUGGUAGACUUCCCGCGAGUAAGGUCCAGACUGUGCAAAUGCCCUGCAGACAAGAAUUUACUGGGAACAGCAGUGAACGGAUCGCCAUCAUCCGCUAAGGGACCGUGUGUCGCUUAUAACGUGUUGCACCUUCCGGUCGCAAAGCUGGGAAUGACCGGGGUAUUAGUGUCGUUUGACCUUUUAUAGGUUUGCAUUGGCCAGUCUGUUGGCUCAGACUUCUGAAGCUUCUGGUAGGGACUUGAGGGUGGAGGGUAGGCAUCUCACUAAACGCUGUAGGACUCUUGGCGUUUGGUAGCUCAGUGAAGCAGAACUGCGUCCGAUGUGUAGAUCCAGUGCAAUAUUAUGUAUCGAGUAGUGACUCGGUUCAGUGUGACGUUAAAUAACCAGUGAACUGUGCGACGCGUUUUACCGAAAUGGUGUUAGAGUGAUGAGGUUUUUGACAUGUGUUUGUGCGUUCUGUACUUGAUCGUGUUGUGUGAGUGGGAUAGGGGGGCUGUGAGCUCAGCUACGAAUUGGUGGCGCAACGUUCACAGUUGUCCGCGGCGGCGGUAAAAAUACAGCAAGUACGAGCGGG